GAAUUUUUGUCAAAGUCAAAUAAAUGGCCCAAGUUUAUGUAAAAGAUGUGGUAUUCACUACUGCUUACAGAAUGAUCGACCUCUUUAAGAAAGAAUUUUCAGUGAAUAUAUUUAAUGAAAAUCUGUUAUGGUUUAGUUCCCAGGCUAAAAAUGUAACAAAAGCAGAGAGAGAGAAGAAAGGGGAAAAAGGGGGGGAGGGAAUUAAUUUUCUUAUAAGCUUAAUAAUGCAUUUCAGUUGUCGUAACUCUAAUUGAAAAAUAGCCGUUAUAUUAAACAUCUUUUGGUGGUGUGGCAGUAUAUUUCAGGAAAAUGAAAAAAAAAAAUGAAGAGAACUGUUAGAAAAAAUAUGAUACUGCUGAAAACUUAUGUUAUCCCUUACUGAAAAAUCAGCCUUGUUGCGAACUGUUCUGCCGCAAACACUGCGGUAAGGUUGCUGCAAAUAGUUUGCGGCAACUUCACCGCG
RNAcentral lists this long non-coding RNA (463 nucleotides) under Mytilus galloprovincialis (Mediterranean mussel). The record is from RNAcentral. Lineage: Eukaryota; Metazoa; Mollusca; Bivalvia; Mytilida; Mytilidae.